RNAcentral lists this unclassified non-coding RNA (219 nucleotides) under Hevea brasiliensis (rubber tree). The record is from RNAcentral. Lineage: Eukaryota; Viridiplantae; Streptophyta; Magnoliopsida; Malpighiales; Euphorbiaceae.
GCAACUGAUAACAUUAGAACAAACUAAAGGAUAACCAUUCAUAUCUUCAGGAUAGAAUUCCACGAGAAGCUUACUGUAUUUGCCAAACCAAUCGUCUCUUGUAACAUCCACAAAGGGAUCAUACCCAAAGAAUGUAUGAGCUGUUCCACAAUCUUCUCCCUCCCAAUAAUUCCUACCAUAGCAACCACCAAAAUAGCAGUAUAGAUCGUUGCAGUCACC